This is a long non-coding RNA of Harpia harpyja (harpy eagle), 633 nucleotides long. RefSeq lists it as uncharacterized. Lineage: Eukaryota; Metazoa; Chordata; Aves; Accipitriformes; Accipitridae. The transcript has 3 exons. The record is from RefSeq and is a predicted model, not a curated record.
GAGGGGGCAAGCACCCUGCAGGGAUGAUUUUGCCAACCUCUGUGCUCAAGAGGUUUCUUUCUCACUCACCAUGUACUGUAGAGGACUCUGGAGCCGUAUGGGCUCCUAACCUGGUAACUCAGUUAAGACCCUGAAAUCAGGUCCGCAUUGGCCCGGUUGACAGCCAACCUGCAAAAACAGAGCUCGCGCCCUGCCCUGCUGGGUCUGGUAUAGCUCUGGCAAGCAGAGGAUGAACUGGCACUGUUCUCAGGCCUACUCCUGCUGACCAUGUCUGCAUUGCUAAUUUGGGGAACAAUUUAUCUGAUUCAAACAUGGGAGGCCCUUUUUACUCCGUUGGGCUGAACUGCGAAACCUGGAGCAAAGCAGAGGCAGCCGUGCCAGUCUGGGGUGGCUCAUCGCUUGCAAGAUAGUAGGUGUCACCUGGCAUCCUCCAUCCUUUCUCUCUGCCAUGGAUAUGAGAGCUUCACAUCUGUGGGAAGUGGGAGAGGAGGCAAAAAAGAUUUUCGCUGGAUUGUCCGCAGUCAUUCAGCAUUAUCUCACUUGUACUAAGGAAAGUGCUUUAAGCAGAAAACCAGCUGGUAUCAUUCCUGCGAUGACACUAUUUAUGCCUGAGGACUCUAACUCAGAGGCUCC